RNAcentral lists this small RNA (28 nucleotides) under Bombyx mori (domestic silkworm). Its description in RNAcentral is "ovarian small RNA-22566". Lineage: Eukaryota; Metazoa; Arthropoda; Insecta; Lepidoptera; Bombycidae. The record is from RNAcentral.
UAGCUUAGGCGCUCCUUUCGGAGGUAGG